This is a long non-coding RNA of Myotis myotis, 623 nucleotides long. RefSeq lists it as uncharacterized. NCBI's taxonomy places the organism in Eukaryota, Metazoa, Chordata, Mammalia, Chiroptera, Vespertilionidae. The transcript has 3 exons. The record is from RefSeq and is a predicted model, not a curated record.
UGCGGGCGGAGUGCGGUCCCCGCGGGCUCCCGCUGUGGGCGUGCAACGUGGGAUUUGAUUGCCCGGGGUUUCAGCUGGACACCAUCCCGGUACCUGUAAAACCCAAGACGGAUACCAGCUGCGAGGCCGAGACUACUUGUAUUAAGUCCUGCGUCUGUAGGAAGCCACAGUCAUGCUGCAGGGAAAUGCCUGAGAGAAGAGAAGGGAGCUGGAGGGGCCAGUCACUGUCAGAGAGGGAAGACCCCAAGAGAGCAUAUCAAAGAGAGCAAAGGUAAAGUUCGUGUUGUGCCAGUGAAACCACCCAUUUCCCAUUCCUGAUUGAUUCCAGGUCACUCCCUAUUCAAAUCCAUUCUACUCUGCCAUGGCGGUGGUUUUUAUGGAAUACUUAGAUUAACAACCUCACCCAGGUCUUUUUAAAAAUCUUAAAUUGUUCCCACUUAUCUUCAAGAAAAGUUUCACCCUACUUAACAUAGCUUACAACAUUUCACAACCUUUUACAUUCUUGUAAAACUGCCUUUUUAGCCUCAUCUCCAACCAGCUAUAUCUUCCUUGAAUACACUAAGUUAUUAUCUUUGCCUCUGCUAUUGUGUUUAGAUUAUUCUCACUCCAAAACCUCCCCACUC